CAAUAGCGUAUAUUAAAGUUGUUGCAGUUAAAAAGCUCGUAGUUGGAUUUCUGCCGAGGACGACCGGUCCGCCCUCUGGGUGAGUAUCUGGCUCGGCCUGGGCAUCUUCUUGGAGAACGUAUCUGCACUUGACUGUGUGGUGCGGUAUUCAGGACUUUUACUUUGAGGAAAUUAGAGUGUUUCAAGCAGGCAUACGCCUUGAAUACAUUAGCAUGGAAUAAUAAGAUAGGACCUCGGUUCUAUUUUGUUGGUUUCUAGAUCUGAGGUAAUGAUUAAAAGGGGCAGUCAGGGGCACUCGUAUUCCGUCGAGAGAGGUGAAAUUCUCAGACCAAUGGAAGACGAACCACUGCGAAAGCAUUUGCCAGGGAUGUUUUCACUGAUCAAGAACGAAAGUUAGGGGAUCGAAGAUGAUUAGAUACCAU
RNAcentral lists this ribosomal RNA (422 nucleotides) under uncultured eukaryote. RNAcentral describes it as "bacterial SSU rRNA". It matches the Rfam family "Eukaryotic small subunit ribosomal RNA", at positions 592 to 1018 of the family's 1831-position model. The record is from RNAcentral.